GGGAAGUGGGGCAUGGGUAAGAUAAGGGAACUUCUUUGUCCUCCUCCAAGAGAGAGAUUUCUUAGCCCAACAUAGGGCCCUCGUGUUCUGGACUUCUACUUCUUCUUCACUUUUCUUGCUCAUUGGAUUCCAGCUCACAGCAUUGGCAGGGCUACAUUAUGACUUUGGUGCUUUAUCUGGUAAGUGGUUCACUGACUUAGCUGAGGACUUUUGUCUCCAAGGGCCCUUCCUCCACACUGACGAUCGUAUUUUGUGACUGCAGCGGUAUAAAGAUGAAUAUAAUCCAGGCUGGAUUCAUUUUUUUAAAAAUUUGUUUUAGGAUUUUUUUUUUUUUUUUUUUGUAUUUGAGAGAGAUGGAGAGAGACAGACACAGAGCAUGCGUAAGGAGUAGGGGGCAGAUGGAGAGGGAGAAGCAGACUCUGCUGAGCAGGAAGCUGGACAUGGGGCUCGAUCCUAGGACCCCACAAUCAUGACCUGACCCAAAGGCUGCCACUUAACCAACCGAGCCACCCAGGCACCCCGGCUGGAUUCAUUUUUAUGUAUUCAUUAUCAUUAUAUCCUUUUUCUCUUCUGAUUUUAAAAGAAACCCAGCUGAAAACAUUUUCAUACGUGAAUAAAAGCAUCUUGGACCCUGGGCACCUUGUGUCCUGUGAAGAAUGGAGAAGCUGGCCUGGGGGUUGGCACAAGCACAUGACUGGCCUUCAUCACUCUAGACAUAGACAAGAACUGUCCAGAAUUCCUGAGGAUGGAGAGGAGAACCAUGAGACCAGAGAAUCAGAUGAUGUGACAUCAAAUUCAUGAUGCAAUUCAAAACACAGCUGUGGGGCAGGAAUCUGGAACCAACCGAAAUGGGGACUCAGAGAAAAAGAAAGAGGAAUCUACCCACUUUUCAGUCAACUUACCCAAUGGGAGAAGACACACCUUCCCAUGUGGAUCUUGUAGAAGCUUCUGGAGGGGUCAGUCCCAGGAGGUGGGAGAGUUGACACCAUGAUCCAGGGCUCCUUUGAGAUAUUUUUUUGUUUGCUUGUUUGUUUUUGCUUCUCUCAGAUUCCUGAAAAGUCUUAGUUUCCCAUCUUUGUCAGUUGGAUACCUGGUACCUUUGGUCUUUAAGGACCCAGAUGUCCUCUCCUUUUUACAGAUGGAGAGAUGAAGGCUAGUUUAGACAACGCAUACAGGACUGGCAAAACCAUAUUAGACUUUUGGUAUGGUUAAUUGUUCCCAUGAAAGUCUUACAUUUUGCAUUGUUUUCAAGUCACUGCCAAGACUGAGGAAAAUGACAAGGAUGGUUUUGUAAGUGUAAUGAAAAUAUGCGUGGAGAACAUCACAGACAGAUUGUCCUGUGUAGUGUUUAGGUAGGGCCCAAGGUCCAAUUUGGGGAGCUUCCAUGAGGACGUGGGGAAAAACAUGUCAACCCUGACAGAAGCAAUUGCUGACUGAGCAAAAAUGUUCUCCUCUCUACUCCCUAAAGCUUCCUAACUCUCAUCGGUCUGCUUUUAACCAGAGCCUUGGGGCACCCCACCUGAAGACUCACAUUUUCUCUGGUCCCCGGGGAAGACACCAGUUUGCUCAGUGACAGUGUGCCAAACAGGGGAAAAAAAAAAAGAAAAAAAAAAGAAAGAAGAAGAAGAGCUUCAGCAACUGCGAACCAGGAAAUUUUUUGUUUGUUUGUUUGUUUUAAAACAAGAUUUGCCAAUCUCGCCAAGAAAUUUUGUCUAAGUUACAGCCUGGCAGCCUUUCUAAUCGCUCAUCGUUCUUUUUCUGAAUCCUGCAUUUUCAUGGAGGGGAGAUAAUCUUUGGCAUUAUCCUCAUUGGCUCGGCUUAGCUCUCAGUCCCUUGGGGUCCUGUUGCCUCUAGAAACUUUCAACUUCUAAAUCCAGUGCUGGCUCACCCAGGAAAGGAACAGGCAAAUUGAACAAUAAAAUUCAAGCCGUAGCUUCCGUUGUGACUCAAGAGCAGAAAAUGUUUUUAAUGUCCAAGAGCACAUAAGUGGCAUUAAUCAUCAAGAAUUUAUUAUUUCUCAUUGGGGGCCCCAAAGAAACACCAUUUUGCCCAACUCCAUUAUUAUCUGGGAUUUGAAAAGCUUUUCAAAACUAGUUGCCUGAUUGGAUAUUUACCUAAGGUUGAGCGUUUCAGAAGUUCUUUCAUAGAAAUUAUAUAUGCCCCAAAAGAGAAAAUAGUGUUUUUUUCUUCCUUUCUUUUCUUUUUCAUUUCUCCCUUGUGUUUCUCUUCCUUUCUUUAGUGACCCUUGCUGUGUCAGCCUUUCUAUGCAUGAUCAGUUUGCUGUGAUCUAUGGAGAACUCCCACCUCAGGAAUUUGAAGCCUGUGGUAAGUCUUUUUGUUUUUUGAGUCUAGGCUAUAGAUUACUUUUGUUUUGAGAAAACCUUAGGGGCUUGUAAUAUAGUCACAAUUUUUUAUUCUUUGAACUGCAUAAAUAAAUUAGACCACUUUGUGGUGGAAAGAUUUUUGCAAGCAUAAGCUCAGGAUACUUUUCUAUUGUAUCUCUGAAAUAUUAAGUAUUUUUGGGUGUUCACACAAUAAGUUGAUAGGAUCGAUCCUUCCUUCCUUCCUUCCUUCCUUCCUUCCUUCCUUCCUUCCUUCCUUCUUCCUCUUCCUUUUCUUCUUUCUUUCUUUCUUUCUUUCUUUCUUUCUUUCUUUCUUUCUUUCUUUCUUUCUUUCUUUCUUUCCUUUUUCUUCUGACCUUCCUAGUGCAGUAAAUAAACAUUGAAAGAAUGUUAUAAAUUCAUCUGUUGGUAAUCCUUAAACUGCAUUAGAAUAAUUGAUUUGGGGAACCUAGAUAAAUAUUUAUCAUAACAAACCCACGUUUCUCAUUUCAUGUGGAAGGGAGCUGCAUUUUCCUUCAUGCACAGGGAUCAUAUGAAAAGCUUAUGUUAGAAGAUAGAAGCUUCAAAUCCAUUCUCUGGUCUUGGGGGACAUAACUUCUUGAGAUAGCUAGACUACA
Molecule: long non-coding RNA, 2959 nt
Filed under: Canis lupus familiaris (dog)
Lineage: Eukaryota; Metazoa; Chordata; Mammalia; Carnivora; Canidae
Description: lncRNA (ENSCAFG00000053379.1)
Source: RNAcentral